AAAUGUAGCAAAACCCUUUAAAUUUAAAAGGAAUAAGCUUUCAAAGUAUUGAUCUUUUUAAAAGCAUUGGCUCGAGUUUGGAAUCCGAUAUUCGGCUUGUCGAUGGUCCAAAGAUUCAUUCGACAAGAGCAUCGAUGCGUGCGUGAUUAAAGAAGAAAGAUUUCUACAUGUUAUUUUCGGUGCUCAACAAAACCAAAGAUGUGAGAAUGGAAGUUCGAGCAGCUUGACACAACGAGAGGAGGAGGCUGCUGGACCCUGUGUUGGUUGAAACAGGGAGUUUAUUUGUUUUCUGUAAAUAAAUAAAUAAUAUCUCAAAAACCCUAAAAAUUUGAAAAAUUAAAAACCAAAAAUAUGUGUUUAGUUUGUUAAAAAAAUUAAAAAAAAACCAAAAAUAUGUUUGUUUUUAAUUUUUCUUAAAAAAAUAAUAGAAAAUUACAAAAAUAUGUGUUGAUUGAAUAUGCCGAAACCCUCACGGCGGAACAAACAUGAUUACUUUCACAAGAUUGAAAAAUGGUUUCAAACUGUCGAAAAUCUAUGGGUUGUGAAUCAUGGGGAUACUUUAUGUUAGAUUUUCUGCAAACCAGAGCACAUUAAGCAGAAAAUGGAUGGCGAGACAAAGCUAUCAGUAUUGGUUGUCAAAUUUUCUUUAAAUGAUUUUGCAUUUUAGGGGGAGUAUUAUUGUCAGAAAAUACAAAAACAUUAGAAAAUUUGAAAAAGCCAAAAACAUGAUAAAAUUCGAAAAUUGAGUUUUUGUGUAAAAAGAGGAAAUGAUAGUACAUCAGUAGACAGUUACAGUAUGCUAAAGAAAUGUAAUGAUUAAAUAGCGUUAAACAGUUUCACCGAUGAUAUGCCGAUAGAUUUUUAUACAUUUAGUAAACUUUUUCAGGAUAUAAACCUAAAUUCAAACUUGCUUAUUUCGUGGGGAACACUACUUGGAUAUAUAGGUAACCCCUGAAAUUUCGUUUGAAAGGUCCCUCUUUCUGAGAUACUAGGUCUUUAUACUCAGUGAUAUCUGGGGUAUUAUCCCGGGACUUCUGAUUUUGCGGAAGCAAUGGCAUAGUCCCCGUAUAAUACUUUCUGCUUGCUUGAAAUAUAGCAUCGCCCUCAGCAUAAAAAUGAUGAAACAUUGAAAAAUGCUAAUCAUGUGCUGAACGGUUUCGCAAUUUAACCCCUUACAGAUAUCAUCUAGGUAUAUUCACCUGUAAGACUAAUUAUUGGGAUCUGGAUACGGGAGUAUAUUCAAGAGGUGGGACAUAUGAAUGAGUUUAAGUUCUUAAAACACUUAAUUCGUAUCCUGAAUCAGUUGAAGUUUGUGUGAAAAUUUAAGUGGAUCAGUAUAUCGACAAUCUAAGUGAAUUGUUUAAUUCUUAAUGUCCAACUAAGCUCAACGGUACUUGUGACUUGUCAAAAACUGAUAUGAUCCUCUGACGCGAACUCAAACAAAAAUAUUGUAUGUAAAUAUGUUUGUAAAUAUUUCUUUACUGCUUUGUAUUUCAAAAAAUACAAAAAGUAUUUUUGAUUCUGCUUUAUUUUCGACAACCGAUGUCUGAGAUGCUGAGUGUCAAAAUCUAAGUAAGUUGAUUGUGUUUCUGAACAUAAAACAAGUUCAUUAAUUUGAAACUUGAUUUUAAUCAAAAAUCAAAAACAGUUUGUGAUAUCUCCAAGGUCAUUAGUUUGGACUUGGAUGAUUAACUAUGGGGGAUUUGGAUGCUUAUAUUGUUAUAGAGCUAGUUUCCGAUUCGAUUCGGUGAAACUGCCAAAUUCAUGAGUAGUGUUAGUUUAGAAAAAUUGAGUGAGCCAGGUUAAUAUUCCUGGAUAUUUGAAAGUUUGAAAUGCUGUUACUUAUAAACGUAUGAGUGUUGCAGAUAUUGUACCAGACUACGAUCCCGAAAGCAGGGCCUAAGGGGGAGUCUGAAGACAAGCUCAAAGCAAGGGGGAGCUUGUAACCGGAAAGCUAGGUGUCGAUCCCUAAAGCACGAAAGCUUGAUGAAAGGGGGAGCCUGAAGAAGCUGAUAAAGCAAGAGCCAGAGUCAAAUUCUAGUAGAAUGAUAAAGAUAGAGCCAGGAUAAGAUUCUGAA
Molecule: long non-coding RNA, 2078 nt
Filed under: Helianthus annuus (common sunflower)
Lineage: Eukaryota; Viridiplantae; Streptophyta; Magnoliopsida; Asterales; Asteraceae
Description: hypothetical non coding rna
Source: RNAcentral